This 434-nucleotide ribosomal RNA is filed under the name Eremobates aztecus. RNAcentral's name for it is "partial 16S ribosomal RNA". Lineage: Eukaryota; Metazoa; Arthropoda; Arachnida; Solifugae; Eremobatidae. The record is from RNAcentral.
AUGAUUGAUUAAAUAGCCGCAGUAUCUUGACUGUGCAAAGGUAGCAUAAUAAAUUGUCUUUUAAUUGGGGACUGGAAUGAAUGAUAGGAUGUGAUAAAUACUGUCUUUAUAGUAAUUGAUUGAAAUUUACUUUUUGAUGAAAAGGUUAAAAUUUAGAUGGUAGACGAGAAGACCCUAUCAAGCUUGAUUUUGAUUAGGAAUUUUACUUUAAUUGGAUUGGUAAUAGGAUUUUAGUUAGAAUUUUGUUGGGGCAAUGUUUGAAUAUAUUAUAAUUUUUUAUUUUUUGUUAUAGGUUGAUCCAUUUUUAGUGAUUAAUAGAGUAAGUUACUGUAGGGAUAACAGCGUAAUUAAUUUGGAGAGUUCAUAUUGGUAAAUUGGAUUGCGACCUCGAUGUUGGUUUAAUGAUUCUUUAGGGUGUAGCAGUUUUAUGAGAA